This 433-nucleotide ribosomal RNA is filed under the name uncultured bacterium. RNAcentral describes it as "partial 16S ribosomal RNA". It matches the Rfam family "Bacterial small subunit ribosomal RNA", at positions 29 to 507 of the family's 1533-position model. The record is from RNAcentral.
AACGAACGCUGGCGGCAGGCCUAACACAUGCAAGUCGAACGAGACCUUCGGGUCUAGUUGCGCACGGGUGCGUAACGCGUGGGAACCUGCCCUUAGGUUUGUAAUAACUCCCCGAAACGGGUGCUUAUACCGGAUAAUGUCGUCGGACCAACGAUUGAUCUCCUUUGGGUGGGCCCGCGUUGGAUUAGCUAGUUGGUAGGGUAAAAGGCUACCAAGUCGACGAUCCAUAGCUGGUCUGAGAGGAUGAUCAGGCACACUGGGACUGAGAGACGGCGCAGAAUGGUACGGGAGGCAGCAGUGGGGAAUCUGGGACAGUGGAGGAGAGUCUGAGACAGCAGUGCCGCGUGAGUGAAGCAGCUUUUAGGGUUGUAAAACGUGGUUCACCGGGAUGAUAAUGACAGUACCGGGAGAAUAAGCUCCGGCUAACUCCGUG